This 253-nucleotide ribosomal RNA is filed under the name uncultured bacterium. RNAcentral describes it as "partial 16S ribosomal RNA". It matches the Rfam family "Bacterial small subunit ribosomal RNA", at positions 524 to 776 of the family's 1533-position model. The record is from RNAcentral.
GACGAACCGUGCGAACGUUGUUCGGAAUCACUGGGCUUAAAGGGCGCGUAGGCGGCUUGUCAAGUCAGGGGUGAAAUCUUUCGGCUUAACCGGAAAAGUGCCCUUGAUACUGGCAGGCUCGAGGGAGGUAGGGGCAUGUGGAACUUCUGGUGGAGCGGUGAAAUGCGUUGAUAUCAGAAGGAACGCCGGUGGCGAAAGCGACGUGCUGGACCUCUUCUGACGCUGAGGCGCGAAAGCUAGGGGAGCAAACGGG